UACGGAGGGAGCUAGCGUUGUUCGGAAUUACUGGGCGUAAAGCGCACGUAGGCGGCUUUGUAAGUUAGAGGUGAAAGCCCGGAGCUCAACUCCGGAAUUGCCUUUAAGACUGCAUCGCUUGAAUCCAGGAGAGGUCAGUGGAAUUCCGAGUGUAGAGGUGAAAUUCGUAGAUAUUCGGAAGAACACCAGUGGCGAAGGCGACUGACUGGACAUGUAUUGACGCUGAGGUGCGAAAGCGUGGGGAGCAAACAGG
RNAcentral lists this ribosomal RNA (253 nucleotides) under uncultured bacterium. Its description in RNAcentral is "partial 16S ribosomal RNA". It matches the Rfam family "Bacterial small subunit ribosomal RNA", at positions 524 to 776 of the family's 1533-position model. The record is from RNAcentral.